This 478-nucleotide ribosomal RNA is filed under the name uncultured bacterium. RNAcentral describes it as "SSU rRNA". It matches the Rfam family "Bacterial small subunit ribosomal RNA", at positions 26 to 518 of the family's 1533-position model. The record is from RNAcentral.
AGGACGAACGCUGGCGGCGUGCUUAACACAUGCAAGUCGAACGGAAAGGCCCCUUCGGGGGUACUCGAGUGGCGAACGGGUGAGUAACACGUGGGCAACCUGCCCUCAGCUUCGGGAUAACACUUGGAAACAGGUGCUAAUACCGGAUAAUAACUUGUCAUCGCAUGGUGGUGGGUUCAAAGUUUUUCGGCUGAGGAUGGGCCCGCGGCCUAUCAGCUUGUUGGUGGGGUAAUGGCCUACCAAGGCGACGACGGGUAGCCGGCCUGAGAGGGCGACCGGCCACACUGGGACUGAGACACGGCCCAGACUCCUACGGGAGGCAGCAGUGGGGAAUAUUGCGCAAUGGGCGGAAGCCUGACGCAGCGACGCCGCGUGAGGGAUGACGGCCUUCGGGUUGUAAACCGUCUUUCAGCUCUGACGAAGCGCAAGUGACGGUAGGAGCAGAAGAAGCACCGGCCAACUACGCGCCAGCAGCCGC